RNAcentral lists this ribosomal RNA (468 nucleotides) under uncultured bacterium. Its description in RNAcentral is "partial 16S ribosomal RNA". It matches the Rfam family "Bacterial small subunit ribosomal RNA", at positions 28 to 507 of the family's 1533-position model. The record is from RNAcentral.
GACGAACGCUGGCGGCGUGCUUAACACAUGCAAGUCGAACGGAAAGGCCCUGCUUUUGUGGGGUGCUCGAGUGGCGAACGGGUGAGUAACACGUGAGUAACCUGCCCUUGACUUUCGGAUAACUUCAGGAAACUGGGGCUAAUACCGGAUAGGAGCUCUUGCUGCACGGUGGGGGUUGGAAAGUUUCGGCGGUUGGGGAUGGACUCGCGGGUUAUCAGCUUGUUUGUGAGGUAGUGGCUUACCAAGGUUUUGACGGGUAGCCGGCCUGAGAGGGGGGCCGGCGACAUUGGGACUGCGAUACGGACCAGACUCCUACGGGAGGCAGCAGUGGAGAAUAUUGCACAAUGGGCGGAAGCCUGAGGCAACAACGCCGCGUGCGGGAUGACGGCCUUCGGGUGAUAAACCGCUUUCGAAUGUGACGAAGCGUGAGUGACGGUAAUGGGUAAAGAAGCACCGGCUAACUACGUG